GAUGAACGCUGGCGGCGUGCCUAAUACAUGCCAGUAGAACGCUGAAGGCGGAGCUUGCUCUUCUGGAUGAGUUGCGAACGGGUGAGUAACGCGUAGGUAACCUGCCUGGUAGCGGGGGAUAACUAUUGGAAACGAUAGCUAAUACCGCAUGACAACAGUUAUUGCAUGAUAACUGUUUAAAAGGGGCAACUGCUCCACUACCAGAUGGACCUGCGUUGUAUUAGCUAGUUGGUGAGGUAACGGCUCACCAAGGCGACGAUACAUAGCCGACCUGAGAGGGUGAUCGGCCACACUGGGACUGAGACACGGCCCAGACUCCUACGAGAGGCAGCAGUAGGGAAUCUUCGGCAAUGGACGGAAGUCUGACCGAGCAACGCCGCGUGAGUGAAGAAGGUUUUCGGAUCGUAAAGCUCUGUUGUAAGAGAAGAACGAGUGUGAGAGUGGAAAGUUCACACUGUGACGGUAUCUUACCAGAAAGGGACGGCUAACUACGUG
Molecule: ribosomal RNA, 495 nt
Filed under: uncultured bacterium
Lineage: Bacteria
Description: partial 16S ribosomal RNA
Rfam family: Bacterial small subunit ribosomal RNA
Source: RNAcentral